RNAcentral lists this non-coding RNA (105 nucleotides) under Clostridium felsineum. RNAcentral describes it as "Clostridium roseum Azaaromatic sequence". It matches the Rfam family "azaaromatic riboswitch aptamer (yjdF RNA)". Lineage: Bacteria; Bacillati; Bacillota; Clostridia; Eubacteriales; Clostridiaceae. The record is from RNAcentral.
UUAAGUAGAGAUAAAAACACAGUUUUGGUUGGUAGUCCAAACGCAUUUAUUAUUUAAAUGUCAGUAACCUGCCCUCGUGGGUUGUCCGUUCUCUUUAAAAUAUAA